This is a small nuclear RNA of Hippoglossus stenolepis (Pacific halibut), 185 nucleotides long. RefSeq annotates it as U2 spliceosomal RNA. The transcript has a single exon. NCBI's taxonomy places the organism in Eukaryota, Metazoa, Chordata, Actinopteri, Pleuronectiformes, Pleuronectidae. The record is from RefSeq and is a predicted model, not a curated record.
AUCGCUUCUCGGCCUUUUGGCUAAGAUCAAGUGUAAUGCUCUGUUCUUAUCAGUUUAAUAUCUGAUAUGUCCUCUAUAUGAGGACUACAUAUUAAGCAGAUUUUUGGCAUGAGGGCAGAAAUUUGGAGCUUAUCUUGCAUCGACUGUGCUAGCAUUGCAGUGCCGCUGGGAGCGGUGCACUCUGU